GGACUACACGGGUAUCUAAUCCCGUUUGCUCCCCUGGCUUUCGUGUCUCAGUGUCAGCACUUCCCCAGUCAGUUGUUUUCACCAUUGGCGUUCCAAAUGAUAUCUACGCAUUUCACCGCUCCACCAUUUGUUCCACUGACCCCUAGAAGGCUCAAGACCAGCAGUAUACCAAGCAGUUCCACGGUUAAGCCGCGGGAUUUCACAAAGUACUUACCAGUCCACCUACACACGCUUUAAGCCCAGUGAUUCCGCCUAACGCUUGGCACCUCUGUCUUACCGCGGCUGCUGGCAC
RNAcentral lists this ribosomal RNA (292 nucleotides) under uncultured bacterium. RNAcentral's name for it is "partial 16S ribosomal RNA". The record is from RNAcentral.